This 433-nucleotide ribosomal RNA is filed under the name uncultured bacterium. Its description in RNAcentral is "partial 16S ribosomal RNA". It matches the Rfam family "Bacterial small subunit ribosomal RNA", at positions 29 to 507 of the family's 1533-position model. The record is from RNAcentral.
AGCGAACGCUGGCGGCAGGCCUAACACAUGCAAGUCGAACGAACUCUUCGGAGUUAGUGGCGGACGGGUGAGUAACACGUGGGAACGUGCCUUUUGGUUCGGAAUAACUCAGGGAAACUUGUGCUAAUACCGAAUGUGCCCUUCGGGGGAAAGAUUUAUCGCCAUUAGAGCGGCCCGCGUCUGAUUAGCUAGUUGGUGAGGUAACGGCUCACCAAGGCGACGAUCAGUAGCUGGUCGGAGAGGAUGACCAGCCACACUGGGACUGAGACACGGCCCAGACUCAUACGGGAGGCAGCAGUGGGGAAUCUUGCGGACUGGGCGAAAGCCUGACGCAGCCAUGCCGCGUGAAUGAUGAAGGUCUUAGGAUUGUAAAAUUCUUUCACCGGGGACGAUAAUGACGGUACCCGGAGAAGAAGCCCCGGCUAACUUCGUG